UAAUACGGAGGGUGCAAGCGUUGUUCGGAAUCACUGGGCGUAAAGGGCGCGCAGGCGGUUUGGUAAGUCAGAUGUGAAAGCCCACGGCUUAACCGUGGAAGUGCAUUUGAAACUGCCAGACUUGAGUAUCAGAGGGGAAAGUGGAAUUCCCGGUGUAGAGGUGAAAUUCGUAGAUAUCGGGAGGAAUACCGGUGGCGAAGGCGACUUUCUGGCUGAAUACUGACGCUGAGGCGCGAAAGCGUGGGGAGCAAACAGG
Molecule: ribosomal RNA, 256 nt
Filed under: uncultured bacterium
Lineage: Bacteria
Description: partial 16S ribosomal RNA
Rfam family: Bacterial small subunit ribosomal RNA
Source: RNAcentral